CGCUAGACAGUUUUGUCGUUGAUGUGCGCGCUCGCAUACACUUCAAAGGGAAGCCGACAGUCGUUAGUCAGACUUACAGAGAUAAUAAAUCAA
This is a long non-coding RNA of Aricia agestis (brown argus), 93 nucleotides long. RefSeq lists it as uncharacterized. The transcript has 3 exons. The record is from RefSeq and is a predicted model, not a curated record. Lineage: Eukaryota; Metazoa; Arthropoda; Insecta; Lepidoptera; Lycaenidae.